GAGUGAUUUGUAAGUGACACCUGUCACCACAUUGGUCACUAGUGUUGAUUAGGCUGAUCUGGCUGGCUAGGUAGGUGUCCCCUUCCUAACUCCAAGUGUGUUCUUCCUGAAGCUGUGUGCUCAGAUCAAGAAGCCAACUUUUCCUGUUACAAAGGAUUGUUCUUUGGAUAAGGGUAUGAGUAGGUGUGCUCCCCACCACAACCUCCGAACAAGCUCUAAAGAGACUAGAAAUUAGUUGUAUAGUGUUAAGAUUAUUACAUUGUUUUGUUUCUGGUGCUGGGAUCAA
Molecule: small nuclear RNA, 286 nt
Filed under: Nannospalax galili (Upper Galilee mountains blind mole rat)
Lineage: Eukaryota; Metazoa; Chordata; Mammalia; Rodentia; Spalacidae
Description: 7SK RNA (ENSNGAG00000008247.1)
Rfam family: 7SK RNA
About the family: 7SK was discovered as an abundant small nuclear RNA in the mid-70s but a possible function has only recently been suggested.
Source: RNAcentral